CCACCGGACCGCCGCCGGAGAGCUCGCUCGCCACCGCCUCGGAGGCCCCCGCGCCGCCGCCUUGAGGCCCGCCGUGCCGCCGAUUUGAGGGCUCCGCGCUGCCGCCGGGAGGUCUCGUGCGCCACGGUCUCUACCGCCCCCGAUUUGACGGAUCCUGCCGCCGCCGGGAGGUCCCCCCGCCCCCACCCCCGCGCGGCGCCCCACCUUCCCCGCCGCCGGGCUGUCGGGGCCCGCUCCGCCGCCAGGGACCCGCGCCGUCUCUCCUUCCCGGCAGGCUCCCGCGCCGCGUCUCCUUCCUCGACACCGGCAGGCUAUCGCGCCGCCCCUCCUUCCCCGAUGCCGGCAGGCUCCCGUGCCGCCCCUACUUCCCCGACGCCGGCAGGAUCGCGUGCUGCCCCUCCUUCACCGCCAUCGGGAGAAGUACAAGGCGCAGGGCCGACAAGUACAUAAAAAUGUUAAAGUAAAGUACAAUCCGAUUGGCUGUGUUCUGACUAUUUCUGUAUUUGCCGCCUGUUUGUUCUAAUGCCUGGACAGAACUCUACUUUAACAUGCCCCCUUUGUUUUUUGCUUGCUGGUCCAGGAGAACCAAAUAACUGGCAUGGUACACUGGUGUAUUUAAUUUCACAAGUUGGUUUACUUUAAUAUACACUGAGUUGUGCGGAAAUCCCCAAAUAUCUUGAGUGCCCUAUACCUGUGCUCUGUAGGUAUUUGAUUUUAUGCGUCCAAAGAGCUGUUUUCUAUCUUCUUUUUUGUGCUGACAGUGUUGUAGUCUUGCACAAUGUGCAUUGUAUUUUCUUUUCCCUUGCCACUCAGUUGGGAAGUAUAAAUCUACUAAGUACACAUAAUAGUUUUAGUAAGUUCACAACCCGUCAGGAUGAAUAACUAGCAGUAGCAACCAGUCAGGGAAGUUGUCUUUUCUUUGUUCUUAGCAGUACACAUAAUAUUGGAAGAUCUAACAUCAGCAGCAACUAGCAAGGUACUUACUGUUGUCUAUUUUUAUCUUUUUCCCACUGUUUAUAAAUAGCACAAGUAGGAUGUAACUGUAAGCAAAAUGUAUUCCUGUAAAAGGCAUGUAAGGCAACCUGACACAACAUUGUUGUUUUUGUUUGGAGAAAAAUGCUAGAAAUGAUUUAGAUUAUAGUAUUAUACACUAUUCUCUAGCAGUUAUUAUGCCCGCUUUGUUAUUUCAGAUUUAGUGACUUCGUGUCAGAUUUUGGAUGAUGGCGAGUUCUCUGCAUAGCUCUAGGAAAUAUCAGGUUUUGUUAAUGCUUUACUGGUUGGGUACUUCUUUCUAUAAAAAAAUGUUGUAACCAUGUGUGACAGCUCAACUUAGGUUUUCUAUAUAUUUAGCCUGAAAGUUUGUAGGGAGAAAAACAUGAAUAAACUGUACAUGAACCCUCUGCUUAUAGGAGAACCUCCAUGCUCAUUUACUUCAUAUAAUUCUGUUUUAACAGUGAAGUUGUUCUAAUGUGAACGGGUAUAAGUUCAGGAUGAGCCAACAGUUCAACAUUUGUUCUAAUGUGGCCAUCGCCAAGAAAUUGGACGCGGCCAUUUCGAUGUUGCUCCAGGAAGAGGGCCUCCGCACCUUCGCGUCAACCACCAUGGGCAAGGACGGUGGGGGUGAUGCUGCCAUGGAUCCUCCUGCAGUUGGGAAGUGCGAGCGAAUAUUUUCAGCAGUACAACUCUUCGAUGUUGAAAGUCCAAUCGAUGAUUUUUGAAAGCUGAAAUUUUCUAGACGCAGUUAGUUACGAUAGGAAAUACAGAGGUUUGGAGUGUAUAUGAAGACAUCAGGCUAGCAUCAUUUGAACCACGAAUGCAAGUUGCGCCACUGAGACUGUCUAAGUUUUACUGUGUAUAUAAAGACCUUAGGAUAGCAAGUUAUGUUUUCCUAACUGUUUAAUACCAAGAUUAGAAGAGGUGUUAGUAAAGA
Lolium perenne is the source of this 1930-nucleotide long non-coding RNA. RefSeq lists it as uncharacterized. The record is from RefSeq and is a predicted model, not a curated record. NCBI's taxonomy places the organism in Eukaryota, Viridiplantae, Streptophyta, Magnoliopsida, Poales, Poaceae.